CUCACSAAGGUACACAUCUACGGAAUCACCAGAGCCACUUCCGCCCACACGAAAGAUGGCGGCUCCCUUGAUGGAGAAAUUGUCGGAAUCUUUAGGUUCCCCAGAACCUGCGGUUCGACUGAUUCUGUCCGUUUUAGUCGGGUACCCCUGUGCCCUGCUGUACCGGCAAUUCUUCUUCCACCAGCCACCCACUGUCAUUCACUUAUACCACGCCAUCUCCGGACUGUCUCUGGCAGCUUUCAACUUUGCAGGCACACAGCUCUAUCACUCUGCAUUAUGCGUCCUUGUCCAGUUCCUGAUGAUGAGGCUUAUGGGAAGGACGAUAACAACUGUCCUGGCCAGCUUUAUUUUUCAAAUGGCAUACCUGCUGUCAGGCUACUACUACACAGCUACAGAAGAAUACGAUAUCAAAUGGACCAUGCCCCAAUGUGUCCUUGCACUCAAACUUAUCGGUUUGUCAUUUGAUUACUAUGACGGUGGCCAGGAACCAUCCAAGUUGAAUGAGGAGCAGAAGAGGUCAGCCCUGGCCAAUGUUCCCUCUCUGCUGGAGGUUAUCGGCUUCUCCUACUUCUACGGAGGCUUUCUGGUGGGACCCCAGUUCACACUGCGCAGCUACCAGAGGCUAGUCAAAGGGGAGCUCACCGACUGCCCCGGGCAGCCACCUAACAGUGUUAUACCUGCUAUGAAGCGGUUCUCCCUCGGCCUCCUCUGCCUGGUGAUCUACGCAAUAUUUAGUCCGCACUACCCAGAUAGCUAUUACCUAACAGAUGAGUACGACGCGCAGCCGUUCUGGUACCGCUGUGUCUUCAUCCUCCUUUGGGCCAAAGUCAUCCUGUACAAAUAUGUUAGCUGCUGGGUCAUAGCGGAGGGCGUCUGUAUACUCUCUGGGCUCGGCUAUAAUGGGCUGGGUCAGAAUGGCGAGCACCAAUGGGACGCCUGCGCAAAUAUGAAGGUGUGGACGUUUGAGACCACACCACUUUUCACAGGCACCAUCGCCUCCUUCAACAUAAACACCAAUGCCUGGGUGGCCAGGCACGUGUUUAAGCGGUUGAAGUUCCUGGGUAAUAAGCUCCUGUCUCAGGUGACCGCGCUUGCGUUCCUGGCCAUCUGGCAUGGCACGCACUCUGGAUACCUCCUCUGCUUCUCCAUGGAGUUCAUCAUCGUAAAUGUGGAGAGACAGGCCCAAGCGCUGGUGAGGGACAGUCCCCUGCUGACCCGCCUGGCCAACAGUCCUCUCUACCCCCUCAUCUACCUGGUCCAGCAGUUCAUCCACUGGCUCUUCAUGGGCUAUCCUUUGGUGCCCUUCUGCCUCUUCACCUACGACAAGUGGCUCAGGGUGUAUUCAUCCAUUUAUUUCUGCGGCCACAUAUUCUUCUUCACAUUGUAUCUAGGCAUCCCAUAUCUCCGCAAGGUGCUGGUACCUAGAAAAGAACGGAGCGAGAAAAAGGAGGACUAGAACUAUGUUAGGAAAUGAAGCGUCCCCUCCCAACAGUGCUGUACUGCCCGUAAAAUGAUUUCUGCCCUCGUUGAGACAUUACCAACUUUACCCUCUUCAUGUAAAAAUGAAAAAAUGCUAUUGGGUCUCUGGCUGAAUCUACACCCAGGAUGUGACUGAAGGGAACUGACUUUUAACUAGGAGCAGAUCAGAAAAUAUUUUAAAGCCUUUAAUAUUAUUUGUGUACACUUUCUUUCUAUUUAUUUUAGUGUUUUGGACGGGACGCACGUUUUUUUGGGACAAGGGAGAUGAGGGUACAGGAAAUAACCUUUGUGCCACAAUUGUGAGCCAAUCAGGGGGUGUUUUCUUGAUUUUAGAGAACUUGAGAGACUGACGUCUUGUAUACACAGAAUAUUGCACUCGCCACUCACGGGCUCUGGGUUUGUAGACGGCUCUGUUUUUAUGAUCUCUCUUGUUUCAACCCUCCCCUCAAGUCCAUAUAGACUGAGUAUACAAAACAUCCUAAUAUUGAGUUGCACCCCCCCACAGCAUCAAUUCGUCGGGCAUGGACUCUACAAG
RNA transcript from Salvelinus sp. IW2-2015, 2014 nucleotides. It is a transcript of the gene named lysophospholipid acyltransferase 5, with no coding region annotated. The record is from RefSeq and is a predicted model, not a curated record. NCBI's taxonomy places the organism in Eukaryota, Metazoa, Chordata, Actinopteri, Salmoniformes, Salmonidae.